Long non-coding RNA from Mastomys coucha (southern multimammate mouse), 939 nucleotides. RefSeq lists it as uncharacterized. The record is from RefSeq and is a predicted model, not a curated record. The transcript has 4 exons. Lineage: Eukaryota; Metazoa; Chordata; Mammalia; Rodentia; Muridae.
AGUUGCAUCCUCAGUUUUGUGCUGUAGAACAGGAAGGAAUCCUCUGGCACAUUGUAAAGUUGUGUUUGCCCAAAUUGUGACUCAGCUUGACAAAGGGAACUAUUCUGAAGCUACAUUGUGAAGUAUCCACCAUCACCAUCCACUAAAACAUCAGCAGAAGCACAGAUCAAUGUCUUACAAACGGUUUCUGGCAACAGCACAAACUACAAACAUGGUCCCUGCAGCAGUGGAACCAUCGACCCAGAUCAAAAGGACCAGACACCAGUAAAGAUGAGAUAAGUAGUCAGGUGAUCCAGCCUUAAAAACUGCCUCAAAUGGUGUUUCCUUAAAAAUUACGAACUGCCUCAAAUGGUGUUUCCUUAAAAGCCUGCAUCCAGAACAAAUUUAAAAUGGCUAGGUCAGUUGGUCCAGCCUUGCAACGUAGUCCAGCCUGGACUUCAGCGAGACAUGUCUGCUCUUGGCAUCAUCCCUAUUCUACUUCAAAAAUGAUGAGCAUUAAAGAAUGUUCAUAUGGAGUUUGCUUCAAAUGUGGCAAGCUAGUCACGGGGCAAGAAACUGCCCUUACUUCAACUGCUGGCAGGGUGCUGUCCAAACCGGACAAAUGGGAUGCAAGGAAGUCAACUGCCAAGAUUUUCAAGGGCAAGGUAGGCAUGUCCUUCAUAAUCCCUGCUUCAUAAAAAAUAUGUGAGACAUAGUGGGCCAGAAGGCUGAAGAUGAUGUUCCAAUGACACAGAGAAAUCUUGGGUGACUGUCUAGGCAAUCAGCAACCUCUACAGCUUCCAUGAUUUUGGAAAGUGCUUGCUCUGUACUUCUUACUUACUCAGGUAAUAUUUAUCCAUCUCAGGGCUCUGAUGAGGUAGAAGACUAGAUAGUCAGUCUCACAAUUAAGCUUCAGUUAUUUAGAAUUUAAGAAAAUGUUUUGAAGGGCUAGGAAGGUAU